Molecule: non-coding RNA, 26 nt
Filed under: Homo sapiens (human)
Lineage: Eukaryota; Metazoa; Chordata; Mammalia; Primates; Hominidae
Source: RNAcentral
UGGAAUGGAAUGGUGACUAGAUUCAA